AAUGCCUUAAAGAAAGGACUGAUCUCCCCUGAAGAAGAGAGAAUUCUGCCUCUAGAUUGCUUACAAUUUGAACUGGAACAUCAGCUGUUCUCUAGGUCUUAAGUCUGCUGCUCUAACCUACAAAUUUUGGACAUGCCAAUCUCCACAGUCACAUGGGCCAAUUCCUUAGUUUCUCUGGAGAAUCCUGACUAAUGUAUGCAAUGUCUUUAUUUCAUCCUCAUUCUUAAAGGAUAUUUUCAUCAGCAACACCACACCCUCCUGAUCACCAUAGCUUUAUGCAACAACAAGAAACAAAUUUAUUAGCUAACCUAACCACUAAUGACGCAAGAGACAAUUCUAAGGACUUUCAAAACAGCAAAGUAGGAGCAGCUGCUACCUCUAGGGAUGAGGGAUGCAAUUGUCCAAUUAUUGGUGAAAUUGUCAUUUCAUGCUAUUGGCUAUUUGAAAUUCCUCCUCUAAUUUCAGAAUAAAUCACUGAAAUUGACAUCGGCCAGUCUGAAUUUCAAGAAAUUACCUGCUGAAGACAAGAGGGAUCUCUUCUUCAGAUUUGCAGUCUGGGGAAGACACAGCCUCUACUGUACUUUAGAACCUGAGAUAUGGUGGUGGAGGGAGCCCUGGGUCGAGUGGUAAGAUUCACCCUUAGGUUAGUAUUGACGUAAGGUGACGAGGAGCUGUAGACAAAAGAUUGUAACCAUAAGAACUUCAUAGUUUUUGUAUUUUCACCGAGCUUAUAUUUGGUGUGUUUUUUGUCUUUUCUUUAUGAUUAUCAAUAAAAUGCUUGAAAGGAGAUGAGGUUGGGGAAUAAUUUUUGGGAAUACCACAAAAGACACUUUUGUGAUGGAAAUCCUUAAAAAGACACAAUCCAUUACCUCAUUGGGUUCAAAAGGCAAUUGUGAACUACUGUGGAGUUUGGAAAGAAGCAAUGAGGUAAUCAAGGAUACUGUUGACAAUCUAGCUUAUCCUAUGGAUGGAAGGAAAUUGAAACUAAUGGAGGCGAGGCUGGUAAAACAAUAGGGUUUGAGACAAUUCUGUGGCAUUAGAAAUGAAAGAGGAAGGUGAAUCCGGGAGACGGAGCUUGCAGUGAGCUGAGAUCGCGCCACUGCACUCCAGCCUGGGCGACAGAGCGAGACUCCAUCUCAAAAAAAAAAAAAAAGAAAGAAAGAAAAGAAAGAGGAAGUAAUAAUCUGUGAAAUUUUUCCUUAGGAACUUAUUGGCAAUUUAAAAAUGAAUUUGUUAAGCCAUGCUGGUUCUGACCCAAAAGCCAUUCCCCAGCCUUCCUCACUCCCCUCUUUCACUACUGGCAGAGAUUGUCUCUCAUUUUACAAGCUGAAAAUGCCAGAUGCUUGCUUUUACAGUCUUCCUUACACCCAGAGCAUGUGCAUAUGUUUAAACGGUCAAGAAGAAGUCAUAACAUGGGUGUCUGGGAGAGCUUUUAUCCCACAAAAACAACACUUCACUCAAAAAACAAACCAAACAAAGAAAAAUUCUCCUUCCUGCCAUUGGAUGUGAGGCUCAGACCUCUAGUAACCAUUUUGUGACCACAAAGCAACAAGCCUGAGGAAAAGUCCUACACGCUGAGCAACAGGCAGAAAUAUUGCCAUCGCUGAGUUGCAGAAACAAAUCUAGAGAUGUUUUGCUUCUGUAAUUAUUUUUUAUGGGAGAUUACAAGUGGGUUUACUGUUCACUUUUCAAAUCUUAUUUCUCUAUGAUGUUUAGCUUGGGUAAAUUUUACCUUAAAUCCACUUUUUUAUGUAAGGUAACAUAUUUGUCGGUUUCAAGGAUUAAGAUGUGGGCAUACUUGGAGGCCAUUAUUUUGCCCACCACAGGUGAAAAAGGAAGUGUUAUUCUUAAAUCAUUUGGAAGGAUCUCUGUGUAAAUGCAAGAGCGAGACAAGAAAAUGCUGUCAUUCUUUUGAUAUGGACUCGAAUUUCCACUUCAUGGUUGUCUGCUUCCUUUUUAGAGUAUUAUUUAUCCUCCUAAUAAAAAGAAAGUGAAAUUUCCC
This 2002-nucleotide long non-coding RNA is filed under the name Homo sapiens (human). RNAcentral's name for it is "non-protein coding LINC00470:13". Lineage: Eukaryota; Metazoa; Chordata; Mammalia; Primates; Hominidae. The record is from RNAcentral.